Heterocephalus glaber (naked mole-rat) is the source of this 807-nucleotide long non-coding RNA. NCBI's taxonomy places the organism in Eukaryota, Metazoa, Chordata, Mammalia, Rodentia, Bathyergidae. The record is from Ensembl.
CCUCAAUGCUGUAACCAGCUCUCCUCCCCCAUUCCCCUCCUCCGUGCUGUCCUGCCUUGGACCUUGCUGACCGCGGACCAAAACAAGUCCUGACUCAGUACCUGCUUCUGGGCCUGUUGGCCUUCUGGGCACAGCGGGUCUGAAAUGAACAAGCCAGACAACGUCCUGUCCUCAUGGUGCUCACAGCUUCUCUGGGGAGACCAAUGAAUGAAGCUUCAGGGUGUGACUGCUGACUGCUAGGAUGACACAAGAGGGGACAUCCUGUGACAUCCCAGAGGACACCCCAUCCCGACUGCAGCAUACAGAAAACACAAGUGAGAAGUGGAAAAUUACUCUCACUCCCUUGGGCAGAGCCCAGUGUCCAUUCCUGACCUUGGGUCCAGGCGGAAGCAGCUGACGGAUGCGGCCCUGUUACCUUCUGGGUAGCUCCCGGGGAGAGCUAGUCACCCUGCUGACCGCGCCGCCCUGAUUCUCAACAGUCCUCUGGGUUGGAUUCAACACAUCUAUUUGAGUACCCUAGAAAGUCCUUUUCUCCCAGGAUUUCUUUUGUCCCUUGGUCGAUUCGGGGCAGUUUGCCAGUGAGCUAGGUCCCUAAGGAAUGCUGAGUGCAGCCCACUGCCCUGAAGUCUCUCUGCUGGAUGGGAAAGAAUACGAAGGCGACUGUUGUGACAUUCCCAUGCUCAAGGUUCUUCCUUUUGCUUCUUUUGGAGUGAAAUCUUCUUUAACACCCAGCCCCAUAGUUGGGGCUAUGGAGAAAGAGUGGGAAGAUACCUCUGGGAUCAAGUCUCAUAUGAGGGGACAGUGACG